RNAcentral lists this ribosomal RNA (260 nucleotides) under uncultured bacterium. RNAcentral describes it as "partial 16S ribosomal RNA". It matches the Rfam family "Bacterial small subunit ribosomal RNA", at positions 524 to 784 of the family's 1533-position model. The record is from RNAcentral.
UACGAAGGGGGCUAGCGUUGCUCGGAAUCACUGGGCGUAAAGCGCACGUAGGCGGAUUGCUAAGUCAGGGGUGAAAUCCUGGAGCUCAACUCCAGAACUGCCUUUGAUACUGGCAACCUUGAGUCCGGGAGAGGUGAGUGGAACUGCGAGUGUAGAGGUGAAAUUCGUAGAUAUUCGCAAGAACACCAGUGGCGAAGGCGGCUCACUGGCCCGGUACUGACGCUGAGGUGCGAAAGCGUGGGGAGCAACAGGAUUAAGAA